ACUUUAAGCGAGGAGGAGGCUCUUUAAUACAGAAGUGGACGUUACUCGCAGAAUAAGCACCGGCUAACUCUGUGCCAGCAGCCGCGGUAAUACAGAGGGUGCGAGCGUUAAUCGGAUUUACUGGGCGUAAAGCGGCGUAGGCGGCUUUUUAAGUCGGAUGUGAAAUCCCUGAGCUUAACUUAGGAAUUGCAUUCGAUACUGGAAAGCUAGAGUAUGGGAGAGGAUGGUAGAAUUCCAGGUGUAGCGGUGAAAUGCGUAGAGAUCUGGAGGAAUACCGAUGGCGAAGGCAGCCAUCUGGCCUAAUACUGACGCUGAGGUACGAAAGCAUGGGGAGCAAACAGGAUUAGAUACCCUGGUAGUCCAUGCCGUAAACGAUGUCUACUAGCCGUUGGGGCCUUUGAGGCUUUAGUGGCGC
This 415-nucleotide ribosomal RNA is filed under the name uncultured Acinetobacter sp. RNAcentral describes it as "bacterial SSU rRNA". It matches the Rfam family "Bacterial small subunit ribosomal RNA", at positions 432 to 849 of the family's 1533-position model. Lineage: Bacteria; Pseudomonadati; Pseudomonadota; Gammaproteobacteria; Moraxellales; Moraxellaceae. The record is from RNAcentral.